AGAGUUUGAUCAUGGCUCAGGAUGAACGCUGGCGGCGUGCCUAAUGCAUGUAAGUCGCACGCACUGCCUUUCGGGGCAGUGAGUGGCGGACGGCUGAGGAACACGUGGGUAACCCGCCCCUUUGUGGGGGACAACCACGCGAAAGCGUGGGCUAAUCCCGCAUACGCUCGCCUCUGUGGAGGAGGUGAGGAAAGCACUUCGGUGCGCAGAGGGAGGGGCCUGCGGCCCAUCAGGUAGUUGGCGGGGUAACGGCCCACCAAGCCGGUGACGGGUCCCUGGUCUGAGAGGACGACCAGGCAGACUGGGACUGAGACACGGCCCAGACUCCUACGGGAGGCAGCAGCAAGGAAUUUUCCCCACUGGGCGCAAGCCUGAGGGAGCAACGCCGCGUGGAGGACGACGGCCUUCGGGUUGUAAACUCCUUUUCGGGGGGAAGAUCCAGACGGUACCCCCGGAAUAAGCCCCGGCUAACUCCGUGCCAGCAGCCGCGGUAAUACGGAGGGGGCAAGCGUUGUCCGGACUUACUGGGCGUAAAGGGUGCGUAGGCGGUCUUGUGCGUCGGUGCUGAAAGCGCCCGGCUUAACCGGGCGAGGCGUGCCGAUACGAUAAGACUUGAGGGGCAGCGAGGGUGGCGGAACUCCUGGUGUAGUGGUGAAAUGCGUAGAGAUCAGGAAGAACACCCGUGGCGCAAGCGGCCACCUGGCUGCCAACUGACGCU
RNAcentral lists this ribosomal RNA (718 nucleotides) under uncultured bacterium. RNAcentral describes it as "bacterial SSU rRNA". It matches the Rfam family "Bacterial small subunit ribosomal RNA", at positions 8 to 747 of the family's 1533-position model. The record is from RNAcentral.